Molecule: long non-coding RNA, 5356 nt
Organism: Aphis gossypii (cotton aphid)
Lineage: Eukaryota; Metazoa; Arthropoda; Insecta; Hemiptera; Aphididae
Exons: 2
Source: RefSeq, a predicted model, not a curated record
AUCAUUAUGUUAUGAAAUUUUCAUAUAGUACAAUAGAUUUAAGUCGUUAGCAAUGCAGUGAAAUUAUAAAAAAAUAUGAUAUAAUAAGAUAUUAUUGUAAGUUGGGAAGGGACAGUCAUAGAUUGACUGUAGAUUUAUAUUUAUUGUAACGCCGUGUCAAGUACAAUAUGAAUAUACGUCAUAAAUACAAUGAAAUAUGAUAGAUAAUCUAAUGUAUACAUAUUAUAUGUGUAUAUAUAUAUAUAAUGUACGAUAUGAUUAAAAAAAUAUUUAUUCCUGGAGUGAAGUUUUCUGAGACCUUGACCCCUUGGCUGAUGAUGGCUGUUGGUCACACUGGUCGCCGGGCCUGUGGUACUGUCGACGGUGGUGAACGUUGUGCGAAACGGUCGGUGUAAAACAGCGUACACGAAAACGCUGAUAAUCAACCGGAUAAACAACGAUUGCAGUUAUAGCAGAACAGCUGCACCGGUGCAGUUGCAAUGCCGUUGCGAGCAUUGAGAUAUUUACCUGAAUUUUAUUCUCCACUACUCGGGAGGAGUGCACUGCGGCGGCCGAUGGACCGAAUGAGAACCAUGGUUUUCUCUUCCACGGCCGUCGUCGUUCCUGUGAUACGACCCCCCCACACGUCCCUUCACUGAUGUUUGGGACAACAUUUCCCCCCCGGCCAUAAGUGGUCGUAGACCGUAGUGGCGGUAAGCUCGUCGUGUUCCGUUUCGCGUCGACGGGUCGUCCGUGUCCCCCUGGUUUGUUCUGAAGUUCCGUUAUCCAUAGUCCAAAUUUUUUCGGGUUUCGCCAUCUGAAUAUCUAGUGCCGCUGUUUGGGUUUCCGUUAUCGUUUCACCGCCGGGGGACGCGGUGAACGUUGGCUACUGGAAGUGCGCGCGAUUAUUCCGUUGUCCGUUUGCGUCGUCUGGCCACUCGCGACCACCGGCGGAGUUCGCUGGCCGCCGGAGCCCGGAGGCCCUAGUGGACACCGAUGACUUGUACCGUCGACUUUAUGUCGGACGGCCCGUGACGAAUGAAUUGUGCUGACGCCGUACAAAUGGCUUGGGCUUCGAUGUUACUAUCUGAAUUGGUAUCUACAUUGUAGUAAGUCCAUGUUUGGUAACUUUUAAGGUAAGUGGAUGAAUAUUGUUUAUAGUUCAAAAAAUUUGCUUCAAUUAUAAUUUUUUUCUUCAAUAUUAACUACACUUCUGAUGGUAAAGGUAUUAUACAAAAAACUAAAAUUAUUAAGUAAUUACAAUCUUUUGAUUUUUGAAUUCAUGAUUUAUGAUUAUAAGUCUUGUUAAUGUAUUGUAUAAUACUAAACCUUGCUACCUAUUGAAAUUAAACAUAAUUUUGUGUUACGCAUUAAGAAUUUAAGUUAGGUAAUUUCUAUUAAAUACAUUUGUUUUGCUUAAAUAGUUAACAUUAUUAGAUGGUAAACAUAAUGUUUAUUUUAUUUCUUUAGUAUAUUAUGAUGUUCAAAAUACACAUGUUUAAAUAAUAUUUAGUUUUAAGAUAAAAAUCAGAGAAUCUUUUAUUUUUUGUCCCUUUGAAGAUUAUGAAGAAAAACUGGUAAGUUUUGCUUUGCUUAAUAUGUUAAAUAUAAUAAUUGUUAUUUAUUAAAAAGUAAGAUUCAAUGUUAUUUUUGCUAGUAUUUUUUAUCAGUUUUUGAUUUACUAAGUAAGAGUCAUAUGUAGGGUUUUUGCUUUUAUACGCUUUCAGUUGGAUCUAGCUGUAAAUCAAGAUGCUGAUCUGUUUAUGGUUUCAACUAAAGGUUUGUUGAAGGAGACAAAAAAUAUUCAUCUGUACAUUUGGAUUUUAAUAUUAAAAUAAUAAUUAUUAUUUUGUUUAUUUUAAAUACCUAAAACAUUUAAAAAAUAUUUUUAUUGAAUAAUGGAAUUGUUUAAAUAAAGCAUCAGUUGAGUAUUAGAAUUAGUUAAUUGAAUUAUAAUAAUAUGAAAAUUAUUAUUUCCAUAAUUCAAACUAUGAUAAGAUAUAAUUAAUGCAUUUUUUUGCAAGACAUGACAAUUUUGAAUGUAAUAUGUAAUCUUCCUUGCUUACACAUUUCAUUCAAUUGUUUUGCCUGUGCAUUUAAUUGUUAUAUUAAAUUAUAGUGUUGAUAAACAAUAAAAAAUAAUAUUUUAUAGUAAACAAAUGUAUUGUUUUGAUUUAAAUUAAUAAAUCCUAUUUUUAGGAAUUUCUAUUAAUACAUUAAUUUAAUCUCUUAUUUUAAAAUGCUUUAAAUUUCUUAUGAUUCAGUAACUUAAAUAUAUUAUUUCUUUAUUAUUUUUAUAAACUAACUUAAGUGGUGUUUUAUUUUCAAAAAUAAUUUGUUAUAUUAAAAAAAAAUAAUAAUAAAGAGUUAGUUUUAUUAAUUAUUAAGCAAUUAAGUGUUUUUAGCUAUGAAAUAAAAUUUAUAUUUAAAUUUAUACUAUUUAGUAUAUCCAAGCGUAUUGAUGAAAUGAUUCUCUAGUUUUUUUUUAUUGAAUUAAGUUGAUGAUUAUUUAUUUAAACAUUAUCAAAAAUAAAAUAAGUAUAUUUACUUGUGUCUACUUGUAUUUUUAUGUUUAUCAGUUGAUUUUAUGACAUUUAUGUAAAGUGAUUUGUUUUCAAAUUAAAUGAUGGUGCCGUGUAAAAAAAUAAUAAUAUAUAUUUAGCAAAAUUGAUAUAUCUACUUUUUUCAUCAAUAUUUUAUGUAUCAUUUUUUUGUUUAUUUAUAAUCUGAUAAUUUGUGAUUUGGAUUGAAAAUAUCUAGUAUAAGGUAAGUAUUGGUAACCAAGGUUAAUCAAUUAGCUUUUAAGAUAAAUCAUUCAAAAUUAUGUAUGAUAUGGUAUUGUAAUCUAUGGAUUAAUUAUAGUCCUAUUACAUUAUAUUAUCAACUGUACAUUUUCAGGACUCAUGUGUAUAGCUUUAAAAAUGCUUAAACAUAAGUAAAGUGAGUAUUGUUGAAAAUUAAGUAUAAUAUUGUAUAUUUACUAUUUAAAAAAUAAUAAUUUUAAUGUAUUAAAAUGCUAGGUACUUCAAUUUUACAUAAUAUACUAUAUAUAUGAUUUAAUUAAUUUUUAAUAUUCCUUGAGAAUUAAUUACUUAGUAUUUCAGACUUCAACAUAAGCAAUGAAACAAAUGAAUUUCAAAAACCAGGUAAUAUAUAAAUACUUUGUUCACAAAUCUCUCUUUUGAUAUAUAUAUAUAUAUCAAUAUAUAUAUGAAAUUGCUUAAUUAAGUUUUUCAGAUUGAGUUGAAUAUCAUAUUUAAUGAUGUAUUAACAUUAAUUAGUAAUUGUUUAUUAUUAUUUAAAAAUAAUAAUUAUUAAUUAAUGUAAGUAUGAUUAGAUACUCAGUAGAGAUUUUACAGAUAAGCAAUUAGUUUCAUAAAAUUAUGAUUAGAAAUAUAAUUUUAACGUAUACUUAAAUUUCAUUUUCUUAAAAUUACUGUAGGUAGGUAUGUUAAAUUGUUUUUUAAAAAUAAAAUUGGGUGAAUUGUUUUUGAUAACAUAAUAACUAAAUAUUAAUUUCCUUUUCUCUUAAUUAUUAAGACAUUAAGUAUUAUUUUUGUACUUUGUUAUUUAAUAGUUGUUAAUUUGUUUAUUAUAAAAAAGAUUUUAUUUAAAAUAAAGUUUUAAAGUAUUAAAAACUGUUGACAACAUAAAUCAUAACUUUACUUUUGUUAUAGAAAAUGAAUAAAGUUAAGCUAAAACAUUUUAUUCGAAUCAGAAUGUUUGAAAUAAUUCUGCUAGUUAAGUUAAAUUUUUUUUUACUUAAGAUUAAAUUGAUAAAUUUCAAUAAAUAAUUAUGAUAGGUAACUAAUUUUCCAAGUCAAUUUUAUUGUCUAAAAAAAUGUUUUUAUGAUUGGCUUUCUAUGCGAUUUUCUUAUAUUAGUCUUAUCAAUGAAUAUGGUUUGUUGUGAUCUUCAAGGUAUUGUUUAACUAAUAGAAAUAAAAUAUGGCACAAUCUCAUAAACAUGUUAAAAAGGAAAAAAGUAUUAGUUUUAGAAUUACGUAUUUAAUAAUAUUUUCAAAACAUACACUUAUAAUGUGGACACCUUAUAUUUAUAAUAUUUGAAUUAAAAAAAAAAUGUUUUCCAUCUCAAAUUAAUAUGUGUUGAAUUGGUAGCAGAUGACAAGAUUCCAGUUUUUACUUCAAUCUAUUCAUUUAAAUUUUAAGUAUUUUUCUAUUUUUGUUCAAAUUUUUUUUUUUCAUAAACAUUUUUAAGAAAUAAAUUCUAUUAUUGUUCUAUUGUAAGUAUACAACUAAAAAUAAAUCAGGUAUGUCCUGUUAUUUUAUUUGCUAAAAUAUAUACUUAUAGUUUCAUUUAGUAAGUCUUUUCAACAAAUCUAUUGGUCACUUUUUUUUUAUUAAAAUAUACAGUUGCCCUUUAAAUUGUAUUUACAGUAUAUAUUUAUUACCUCCUUAAAUUAUUAAAAAAAAUUCUAUUCAUGUAUGAAAUCAAAAAUCAUCAUUAUGAGUUCUAUGUUAGAAAUAAUCUUAGUAUUAGAAUCUUAAUAUUGAAAAAAAAAAAUAAUAAAAUAAAAUUUAUCAUUUAUAAAAACCAAAUUUAAUUAAAAAUAAUUUUAGACUGCAUAAUUUUACUGAUCUAUUAUAUUAAUUGUCUUUAUUUAGAUAAAUUUGAUCAAAAUAUCCUUUUUCAAUCAGAUUGUCCAGUUGUUUAUAUCCAUUGUAGUUCUGUGUCUGCUAUAUUGUUUCCUUAUGUUUUUUCCCAGUUUCUGUCGGAGCCUUCAGUUGCAUUGGUUGUCAUUCAUCAUAUUACACUACAAAAUCAGAGUUGACUCAGCAUAAGAAGUUCGAAUGACAACUCUAAUCUACAUUCUGUUGUUCCUACUGCUUCAAAAUUAUUCCGUGGAAAAUUUUGUUGAAUCAACUGUGUACCACAAUAUCGUUAGAAAAAAAUAUAUAUCCUACUCAUAUAUUAUUCAAGAUUUGAUUAGUUUUUUGUAUAUAUUUAAUUUAUACACAUUUUUUGAACACUAUCGUAUUUUUAAUGAUCAUAUUUGUAGUUAAAAUUUUAAUUAACCUGUACUACUUACUUGGUGCUGAUACAUAUCUCAUGUAAUUUGUUAAUUAUUGUAUGUUAGUAUUUUUUAAUGGUUUCUGUAUCAAUAAUUUUCAAUUGAUAUUAAAUUUUGUAUUGUGUAUUUUUUUUUAAUUACUGUUGCGAUCAAUUUUUUGUUAAUACAAUUUAGUUAUUUUUUGCAUCAUAUAUAAUUUCACAAUUGUUAUUUAUUUCCUUUUGUAACGCAACAGAUAAACUUUUCCCUCUGUGAUAAUUUGUUUUUUUUUUUUAAAUCAUUGGUUUGUAAACAAAUUUUACAGAUUUUUGGAGAAAGGAAUAAAUUAUAAGAUUUAUAGUAAAAA